This is a long non-coding RNA of Atta colombica, 102 nucleotides long. It matches the Rfam family "Sphinx_ conserved region 1". The record is from Rfam. NCBI's taxonomy places the organism in Eukaryota, Metazoa, Arthropoda, Insecta, Hymenoptera, Formicidae.
AUAAACUGCCAUUUGGUGGUUAUCCUGCUGAAUACGAUCCUGUGAAACAUGGGCCAUAUGAUCCUGCACGCUAUUAUGGAAAACGUGAGUUCGUUUAUAGCA